Molecule: long non-coding RNA, 1464 nt
Filed under: Mus musculus (house mouse)
Lineage: Eukaryota; Metazoa; Chordata; Mammalia; Rodentia; Muridae
Description: predicted gene 14461
Source: RNAcentral
CAUGUCACUCAAACCAGCUGUAUUAAGGAAGGUGCAAGCUUUUGGGAUUUCUGUUUGGAUUUAGUUUAGGUUCAAAAGAGCACGCACAGAUCCUGAGUGUUGUCAAGCACCCGUGACUGGGAAACGGAGGCGUCCGAUCCGUAUUGGAGUCAAUUCGCCACUUAAUUGGUCUAAAGGUGACAUGUGGCACUAGAGAGCAUGCCUCUUUUUUUGUGCUGCUCUGCAACCUUUCGGCAUCUGAGAAGAUUGUUCUAGUGUUGCGGUUUACAUGUGGUCACUGCAGGACUCCGGCCAGCCAUUCCCAGGGCAGUGUGUGUCCUUAGAACUGAGCUCAGAAGCUGAAAUACUCAGUAGGACAGAAGCCUUUUGGACUCUCUCUCUCUUCUCUGUCACUGAAAAAUUUCUACAGAACAACACAUUCAAUAGGACCAAAUGAGUCCACAUCAAUGAAGAGGUACAAAAGAAGUAAUUGUUUGGGUGAAGGAAGUGCAAGGUGUGAAAUCUGAUGGAAUCAAAGAGAAAUCAAAGGAGAUGAGAUGAAGUUUCCUGGGAGGGAGCACAGGACACAACAGCUCUAGUGUGAACGGGAAAAUGCCGACCUUUAAGAUUUCAGAGCCCAGGGAUGAGCCAGAGGGCACCCAGAGGACAGCAGAACAUCUUGCUGCUCUGGGCAUGUGGACAGCUGUGAAGGCAGAUUCAAUUCUCGGACUUCUUCUUGUGGAACUUCAAAUUCCCAAAAGCAGAAAAACCCUUUGAAAAGAUUCAGCACGUUGCCAUGGAGAACAUCCCACUGAAGGAAUGUAUAGAAGUAGCAGGGUUAACUGAGUGCCUUCCAUCUUCCCUCCAAGGGAUCUGCAAUGAGAUGGGAGAAGGCAACAGGCUGUGUGGGAACCACUGAAGCUGGGAUGGCAGGGAAAGAACAUCUUAGGCUAACUCUUCAAGCCUUGCUGUCACAUUUGCUUUUGAGUCUAUGGUGUCAGCUGCCUACCAGUUGCUUUCAUCUCUAGAAAUCUGUGACUUGCAGUAUGACAAGAACAAAAGGUGACAAUACAAAGGACAAAGGGCAAGGAAUACAGACGGAGAAGCCGCUUAGAGUCUAGGAUGGCAGAGGUUCUCUUGAUCAUUUCAUUUUUGAGCGCUUGUAGAGCUUUGGUGUACCAGAGGUGCUUGAACAGCUUACCACACCACAGAUGAAUGGCCUUUGGAUUUCUCCUAAGAAAAUGUGGCUACCUGAAAUUCAACUCCAUUUUCUGGUCUUCAAUAUUUCUUUUGUGUUCAGUUUGCCAGCUGAGGAGAAGUGGCUAAGCAUAGCCUGUUACUGAUGCUAAAGCCCAAGUUCUGAACCUAACAACUCCAGCAACAUGAUCCUGUUUCAAGAGACAAAAAAGUGACUAAUGAAAGAAAACAAUUGAUGUGCUAUGUAGAGUUUAAAAGAAGGUAAAGAGAAUAAAUUAAAAGCAACAA